Molecule: ribosomal RNA, 609 nt
Filed under: uncultured bacterium
Lineage: Bacteria
Description: bacterial SSU rRNA
Rfam family: Bacterial small subunit ribosomal RNA
Source: RNAcentral
CCUACGGGAGGCAGCAGUAAGGAAUAUUGGACAAUGGACGCAAGUCAGAUCCAGCCAUGCCGCGUGAAGGAUUAAGGCCCUCUGGGUUGUAAACUUCUUUUAUAGGGGACGAAAAAAGGGCUUUCUAGCUCGACUGACGGUACCCUAUGAAUAAGCACCGGCUAACUCCGUGCCAGCAGCCGCGGUAAUACGGAGGGUGCAAGCGUUAUCCGGAUUCACUGGGUUUAAAGGGUGCGUAGGCGGGCAUUUAAGUCAGUGGUGAAAUCUUCGAGCUCAACUCGGAAACUGCCAUUGAUACUAUUUGUCUUGAAUAUUGUGGAGGUGAGCGGAAUAUGUCAUGUAGCGGUGAAAUGCUUAGAUAUGACAUAGAACACCGAUUGCGAAGGCAGCUCGCUACACAAAUAUUGACGCUGAGGCACGAAAGCGUGGGGAUCAAACAGGAUUAGAUACCCUGGUAGUCCACGCCCUAAACUAUGGAUACUCGACAUUUGCGAUACACAGUAAGUGUCUGAGCGAAAGCAUUAAGUAUCCCACCUGGAAGUACGACCGCAAGGUUGAAACUCAAAUGAGUAGAGAGNGAGAGNGCGACGGACGACGACGAGGGAGAGG